Aquila chrysaetos chrysaetos is the source of this 1865-nucleotide long non-coding RNA. RefSeq lists it as uncharacterized. NCBI's taxonomy places the organism in Eukaryota, Metazoa, Chordata, Aves, Accipitriformes, Accipitridae. The transcript has 6 exons. The record is from RefSeq and is a predicted model, not a curated record.
CCGAAGCGGCUGUGGUCCUGCCGGGUGCCCUGCACCGUGCCGUUGGGGAAGAUCUCCAGGUGGAAGCCGGUGCGGCAGUAGAGCUGCCGCCGCCGCAGGAUGCCCUUGAGUACCACUUCCAGGCCCUAGACCCUGUUUGUGCUGGAUGCUGCGUUAAGAAGUACGUAACAAACCCGAGUCCUUGACCUGAGGAAUCUCACUGCUCUGUCUUGUGGAAGGAUUUCUAAUGGAAGGCAACAUGAAUGAGGCAACAGAAUUUCAGUCAACGUGUAGAAGUACAUAUAUAUUUUUGUGGCGAGUUUAGAAUGAUGGCAGAAUGAAGCCUGUGUCUACAGUCUCACAACACAGAGAAAAUAAAUCCUGAUGAUGUUAAACUCUGACAAAACUCUGACAAUUUCACUUUUGCUAUGGGAACAUGAUGGCCUAUUUUCUGUUUUCUCCAGAAGCUUGUUGGAAUUUACCUUGGAAAUCGUGUGAGAGCUUCAGAGAGCCGGGUUUUCUUGGCAACACCAGCCGGUAGUCAUUUCUGAACAAACAAGAUUGAAAUUUAUGUCUCAGUGAAGCAAUACUGGAAGCCUGUUUGACGUGCUGCACAAAGACCAUUUCCAGCGCUCUCCAGCCAGAUGAAUUUCCUCCAUGUGCUGCAGCAUUGUUGCAACACCCUUUUCUCCCCUUUGGCUUCACGGAGACUGGGCUGCUGUGCUAGGGCUGACUGCUGUCACCGCUUUACCUUUCGAGACCUUGUGCCGCACCCCCACAUUAAAAGUGCUGAGACCUGACUGUCGCUUGUUCAAUGCAUUUCCAGAUGAAGUACCUCUACGUUCUCACUUCUGCUUCUUUCAUGUUUUGGAGAGGCUCCUUAGAAGCACCCCAAAAUAAAUCUAACUUUCUUCUUUGACUUGCACAAAAAGUCAACAGCAAUAGGUUUCUGGUUUCCUGACAUUACUUCUGUUUAUAGUGAUCAAUACUUGUUCAGUGUUUCCUUGCUAUUUUCAGUCUUGUUUAGAUUGUAAAUAAUUUGGAUCAGAGACCUGUCUUUUUAUUACAAUUACUGAAAAACUAGGAUGAUUAAAUCUUGGCUUGUACUUAAGGAUCCUAGAGAAUCCGAAGCUAUUGAUAACAAAACAAUUCAGCAGAGUGAAAUUGAUCUUCUUAUAUACGGUGUUUGCUACAGUCAGUGUGAAUCCCUAAAAAAAUUAGUAUUUUCCAAUGAAACAUAUAACAUACUGCUGACUUCAGGUUGUCUGCUAAUCUUUGUAAUUGGCAUGAAAUCUAGGGUGGCUGGGAGUCAAAACCCUGUCUUUUUGGCUUUGUGUGUGUUCUGCUGAUUACCUGCCUAAUGAAGUAAGUAGGCAGGGCAAUCUCUUUGUGUCAUCCUGCAACCAUGUCAAGUUAUUCACUAAAACUCUCUUUGGGAAAGUGGGUUGGAAACACUUAGGUGAAGAUUUUCUUUUCGGUACAAAUUUGCUGCUUUGUGGAAACUUAAGGAUGUUAUAGGAGAUCAGCAUCAAUGAAUUUACUAGCUUUAAAAUAAUGUGGAGAAAAAUAAGCAAAAAGUCUGUGAUUGUUCUAGCUGUUUCUAGAAUGAAAGAUUCCAGGCUUUCCUCUUGAAAGUGGUACUAGUUGCACUAAGGCAAUUAAAGAGAGUAUGCUGUUUACAGUUAAGUGUUUAUGCCAUUUUUGAGUCAAUGUUGAUCUAUGAAAAUCUGAGACUUGAAUUUUUGUUUUGUUUUUUUUAUAAGUUUAAUUCUGCUACUUUGUAGAACUGUAUCUUAUGAAUUCUACUAAAUAGAGUUGUGAAAACUAGAUUUGCUGCAGUUAUAUGAAUAUACUUCUUUCAAUACAGAAGCUUAUUCCUGCCAACA